GCGUGGCCGCCGGAUGACGGGUAUUGUUGAUGUCAAUAUUAUAGGUAACUCUGUCACGUU
RNAcentral lists this transfer RNA (60 nucleotides) under Pseudobuliminus piligerus. RNAcentral describes it as "tRNA-Ile". The record is from RNAcentral. Lineage: Eukaryota; Metazoa; Mollusca; Gastropoda; Stylommatophora; Camaenidae. RNAcentral also lists the same sequence under 1 other name.